RNAcentral lists this long non-coding RNA (405 nucleotides) under Rattus norvegicus (Norway rat). RNAcentral describes it as "long non-coding RNA NONRATT025979". The record is from RNAcentral. Lineage: Eukaryota; Metazoa; Chordata; Mammalia; Rodentia; Muridae.
CUAAAGAAAAGAGAAUUUAGAACAUGGCAGCCAGGAGAGGGAAAUCAUGUGGAACAGGGUCCCCCGAGUAGGGACACAUGGACUAGAGAUUUUGCUUCUCCAUUGGCUCCACUGUACACCAGAGCUUGGACUAGAUAACCACAGCCUUUUCAGUUUGAAUAUAAUACCAAGUCCACUAAAAAAAAAGUCCAUCUUCUCCUUUUACACAUUAGGCUCUUGUGUUUGUGCUGUGCACUGUGGAAGUACAGCAUUCAGGAAGAAAAACUAUGUCCUAGCACUGAGCAACUCCGUAGCCUCUGAGGUUAUUUCCCUACCUGCCGAGUGCUUCUCUCUCCCUAGGUCCUCACUCAUGGCAUACUGGAAAGAGUAUAAUAAAAAGAUUGUAAAACACUGUAAAUGUCAAAU